This 28-nucleotide non-coding RNA is filed under the name Mus musculus (house mouse). The record is from RNAcentral. Lineage: Eukaryota; Metazoa; Chordata; Mammalia; Rodentia; Muridae.
UAUUCAUCUGGUGACUUGUUAAUAUACU